AGAGUUUGAUCAUGGCUCAGGAUGAACGCUGGCGGCGUGCCUAAUACAUGCAAGUCGAGCGGUAAGGCCCUUCGGGGUACACGAGCGGCGGACGGCUGAGUAACACGUAGGAACGUACCCCAAAGUGAGGGAUAAGCACCAGAAAUGGUGUCUAAUACCGCAUGUGCUCUAAGGAGUAAAGCUCCGGCGCUUUGGGAACGGCCUGCGCAUGAUUAGCUAGAUGGUGAGGUAAUGGCUCACCAUGGCGACGAUCAUUAGCUGGUCUGAGAGGAUGAUCAGCCAGACUGGGACUGAGACACGGCCCAGACUCCUACGGGAGGCAGCAGUAGGGAAUUUUCCACAAUGGGCGAAAGCCUGAUGGAGCAACGCCGCGUGCAGGAUGAAUGCCUUCGGGUUGUAAACUGCUUUUAUAUGUGACGAAUAUGACGGUAGCAUAUGAAUAAGGAUCGGCUAACUCCGUGCCAGCAGCCGCGGUCAUACGGAGGAUCCAAGCGUUAUCCGGAAUUACUGGGCGUAAAGAGUUGCGUAGGCGGCAUAGUAAGCAGAUAGUGAAAGCGUGUGGCUCAACCAUACUCACAUUAUCUGAACUGCUAAGCUAGAGGACGAGAGAGGUCACUGGAAUUCCUAGUGUAGGAGUGAAAUCCGUAGAUAUUAGGAGGAACACCAAUGGCGUAGGCAGGUGACUGGCUCGUUCCUGACGCUCAGGCACGAAAGCGUGGGGAGCAAACGGGAUUAGAUACCCCGGUAGUCCACGCCGUAAACGAUGGAUGCUAGCUGUUAGAGGUAUCGACCCCUCU
RNAcentral lists this ribosomal RNA (797 nucleotides) under bacterium enrichment culture. RNAcentral's name for it is "bacterial SSU rRNA". It matches the Rfam family "Bacterial small subunit ribosomal RNA", at positions 8 to 841 of the family's 1533-position model. The record is from RNAcentral.